This 380-nucleotide ribosomal RNA is filed under the name uncultured bacterium. RNAcentral describes it as "bacterial SSU rRNA". It matches the Rfam family "Bacterial small subunit ribosomal RNA", at positions 28 to 367 of the family's 1533-position model. The record is from RNAcentral.
GAUGAACGCUGGCGGCGUGCCUAAUACAUGCAAGUCGAACGCAUUGUGGUUGAAAUGAUAUGAAGAACUUGUUCAGAUUUGAUUUUCAACAUUGCAAUGAGUGGCGAACGGGUGAGUAACACGUGGGAAACCUACCUCUUAGCAGGGGAUAACAUUUGGAAACAAAUGCUAAUACCGUAUAAUAAUUAAAACCGCAUGGUUUUAGUUUAAAAGAAUGGUCUUGCUAUCACUAAGAGAUGGUCCCGCGGUGUAUUAGUUAGUUGGUGAGGUAAUGGCUCACCAAGACAAUGAUACAUAGCCGAGUUGAGAGACUGACCGGCCACAAUGGGACGUGAGACACGGCCCACUACUCCUACGGAGGCAGCAGUAGGGAAGUACUU